GAUGAACGCUGGCGGCGUGCUUAACACAUGCAAGUCGAACGGAAAGGCUCCUGCUUGCAGGGGUACUCGAGUGGCGAACGGGUGAGUAACACGUGGGUGAUCUGCCCUUCACUUCGGGAUAAGCCUGGGAAACUGGGUCUAAUACCGGAUAGGACGAUGGUUUGGAUGCCAUUGUGGAAAGAUUUUUCGGUUUGGGGUGAGCUCGCGGCCUAUCAGCUUGUUGGUGGGGUAUUGGCCUACCAAGGCGUUGACGGGUAGCCGGCAUGAGAGGGUGUACGGCCACAUUGGGACUGAGAUACGGACCAGACUCCUACGGGAGGCAGCAGUGGGGAAUAUUGCACAAUGGGCGCAAGCCUGAUGCAGCGACGCCGCGUGGGGGAUGACGGCCUUCGGGUUGUAAACACCUUUCGCUAGGGACGAAGCGCAAGUGACGGUACCUGGAGAAGAAGCACCGGCUAACUACGUG
RNAcentral lists this ribosomal RNA (466 nucleotides) under uncultured bacterium. RNAcentral describes it as "partial 16S ribosomal RNA". It matches the Rfam family "Bacterial small subunit ribosomal RNA", at positions 28 to 507 of the family's 1533-position model. The record is from RNAcentral.